GACGAACGCUGGCGGCGUGCUUAACACAUGCAAGUCGAACGGAAAGGCCCUGCUCUUGUUGGUCGCUCGAGUGGCGAACGGGGGUGUAAAACGUGAGUAACAUGUACCUGACUUUGGGGUAACUUCUCGGAACUCGGGCUCAUAUCGGAUAUGAUAUUUUGCAGCACAGUGGUGGAUGGAAAGUUUCGGCGGUUGGGGCUGGAUUCGCGGCUUAUCCGCUUGUUGGUGGAGUAGUGACUUACCAAGGUUUUGACGGAUAGCCGGCCUGGGAGGGGGACCGGCGUCCAUGGGACUGAGGUAGGGACCAGAAGCCAACGGGAGGCAGCAGUGGGGAAUAUUGCGGAAUAGGCGGAAGCGUGAUACAGAGACGCCGGGUGCGGGAUAACGGCUUUCGGGUGGUAAACCGAUUUGGCCGGAGACGAGGAGUGAGUGACGGUAAUGGGUAAGGAAGCACCGGCUAACUACGUG
RNAcentral lists this ribosomal RNA (468 nucleotides) under uncultured bacterium. Its description in RNAcentral is "partial 16S ribosomal RNA". It matches the Rfam family "Bacterial small subunit ribosomal RNA", at positions 28 to 507 of the family's 1533-position model. The record is from RNAcentral.